RNAcentral lists this ribosomal RNA (468 nucleotides) under uncultured bacterium. RNAcentral's name for it is "partial 16S ribosomal RNA". It matches the Rfam family "Bacterial small subunit ribosomal RNA", at positions 28 to 507 of the family's 1533-position model. The record is from RNAcentral.
GACGAACGCUGGCGGCGUGCUUAACACAUGCAAGUCGAACGGAAAGGCCCUGCUUUUGUGGGGUGCUCGAGUGGCGAACGGGUGAGUAACACGUGAGUAACCUGCCCUUGACUUUGGGAUAACUUCAGGAAACUGUGGCUAAUACCGGAUAUGAUCUCCUGCUGCAUGGUGGGGGUUGGAAAGUUUCGGCGGUUGGGGAUGGACUCGCGGCUUAUCAGCUUGUUGGUGGGGUAGUGGCUUACCAAGGCUUUGACGGGUAGCCGGCCUGAGAGGGUGACCGGCCACAUUGGGACUGAGAUACGGCCCAGACUCCUACGGGAGGCAGCAGUGGGGAAUAUUGCACAAUGGGCGGAAGCCUGAUGCAGCAACGCCGCGUGCGGGAUGACGGCCUUCGGGGUGUAAACCGAUUUCGCAUGUGACGAAGCGUGAGUGACGGUAAUGGGUAAAGAAGCAACGGCUAACUACGUG